AAUAAACAUAACAUAACAAUGAUAAUAUGAAUAUUUUGCAUAAAAAAUCAUAGACAUACAAAUGCCAUUUGUCCAGUGUAAUAAAAUAUGAAUCAAUGGAAAAAAAGUUGGUAUGUUGAUUGUAGGUUUAAUUGCCAUCUUCUGAACAUUUUUUAAACUAAAAUUGAAGGAAAAGACAUUUUCCUAGGCUAACAAAUUUACAAGCAAAUUAUAUCUUCUAUUGAUAGAGAAAUACAGGCUAUGAAAGGGAUAGUCAAUUGCAGUAUUUCCUUCGAAUAUAUACCUUUUCAUAUGGUUGAAUAUUUCGAAUGUUAAGAUUAUUAACAUAAGCAUAAAGAGAUUUCAGUAGGGAAUCAAGUAUUAUAAUUUUACAGAUAUUAAAACAUCUUCUUACUUAUCUCCCCAACCAUAAAAAAAAGAAGCUAAAACCCUUAUUCUUCCUCAUGUGCAAGCUUCUUAAAUAAAUACUGGAUCUGGAAAGAAAGUUUUGUUUACUACAACCAUUUAGCAGGUUAUAAAAUUCUCUCGAUCAAAAGGUCUACAUGUUUCUGAAAUUUAUAGCUUUGUAUGAGAAUGAAGUAUUUCUGAAUGUAUAAAGAACAAUGUCCUUGAAGUCCUAUCACAAUCAAAUUUAUUCUUAGAAACAUAUCACAUACACAGUCUAACAUAAUAAGAGGAUCAUCUUUAAUAGCUUGUUUGAUAGGCAAAACUUAAAUUAUGAAAACCACAAAUAAUAAGAGAUCUAAGCAGUUAUUCAGAAGGGGUGGGUCGGACCUUUAUCGGGAAUCCGUGAUCAGGUCUUUUUAAUGCUCGGGAUUUCGGGAUUGAUUUCUUUGGUAUUUGGGAAUUCUUUUUUUCUACAUUUCGGGAUGUCAGGAUUUAUAUGCUGAACAAAUUGGAAAAUAUUUUAGAUGAUUUUAUGUAAUUACCAUUAGAAUGAGCCUGAGAAUGUUAUUUUUUUACCUUUUAGAGGGGAUUAUGCCCUGAACACCCUAUCAUAAAUGCACCUCUGUCUUUUCAGUAUUUAAAAAAAAUUCUAUCAAGAUAAUUAAUAAGCUGCAUAUAAAUAUGUGGUCAACCAAGCUUAUAGAUGAAUGAAGGAUUGGUAUGCAUUUGAGCAAAAUUAUUAAUGAAAAAAAAAAUU
This 1144-nucleotide long non-coding RNA is filed under the name Mytilus galloprovincialis (Mediterranean mussel). Lineage: Eukaryota; Metazoa; Mollusca; Bivalvia; Mytilida; Mytilidae. The record is from RNAcentral.